GAAAAUACUUUCAUUGCGGAAGCUUUGCUUGUUGUCGUGUUAUUUUGAAAUCAACUGUUGUUUUUGAAAACGCGCCCUAAAGCUAUCCAAUUUCAACAGUUAAAAUAAGUAUUACCUAUCUUAGUAAUACAUAUUAAAAACCAUCAAAAAUAAAUAAGCGGCCUUAUUACAUUUAAAAGCCCAAAACCUCAAACGUAAUUAAAAGGAUGUCCAGUUCACCAGAAGAAAAUCAAACUUUCAGAACGGGUGGCCACCUUGAAUUCCCUCACAGCUCCAAGCCCACUAUGGUCGGGGAUUACCUGCGUGGAUGAAAAUAAAAGGGAUGAGUUUGGGGAAACUCAGUGUGUAAAAUAACCCAACCAUAGUCUAAAUCAGCUCAACCCACAGAAAUAGAAUAAGUUGGCCUUAGCCCAGAACAGAAUUCAGAAUAAAGCCCAUAGGCCCAUAACAGAACAUAACAGAUAUUACAUGUUUAUGCAGAAACCCAACCAUAUCCAACCGUAUACACCCCCAUACCAACCUUACACCGUGUGGUGAGACAACUCGACCCACCCAAACCGAUACACACCACAGAAAUUUGCAGCAUGGCUUGCCAGAACAGAUAAUGUGACAGAGUCACCAGAUACAGAUAAUCGUGGCAGAGCCACCAGAACAGAUAUAUGUGGCAGAGCACCAGAUCAGAUAUUUGUUGCAUAGCUACCAGAACAUAUUGUGGCAUAGCUACCAGAACAGAUAUAUGUGGCAGAGCCACCAGAUCAGAUAAUUGUGGCAUAGCCACCAGGACGCUUCCUCCAUAAUAUAACCCAUGUCCCCAUGCAACAGAUAUAUAUAAUCAUGGAAAACAUCAUACGGAAUCAAAUCGCCAUGCUUUUCAGUCAAAAUUAACCCUACGGGUAUAACAGUAAUUUUGCAACUAGGGGUAUAACAGUAAUUUUCCAUACAUAGGGGUAUUAUAGUAAUUUAGCUACUUUUAGGGUUUUCAUGCAUAUCCUAACUAUUUACGUAUUAUCAGAACACUUACUGCGCAUACUUACCGAAUUGGGCCCGUUGGCCCAUGAACCCGAUCUUUGGCCCAUUAAGCCCAAAUUAUCAAAAUGUACGAAAUCGCGCGUACUGCAGUUUAUUACUUUAGAUUAUCAAAUAUACAAACCCAACUAUCUUACGAGCAUUCGCACACUCGCAAAUUCCCAAAAUACCGACUUUUCGGUAUUUCAGCUUUUCGGCUUUUGCCAAUCUAGUCUAUGAGAGGGUGUCAGUUACACACCUGUUUGCGACGAUAUGCUGACGAGAUCCACACACGAACCGCCUACAAUUGGAUUACUAACACGUUAAUCUAACUAUUCAAAUACAAACUACGUAUUAACCCCUUACAAUAUUCGGCCAACCACACCUACAGAUCAUAGUAAGCUUAUAAGAAAUCAAUAAGCAACUCAUUAACAAUUUUUUGUCAAUGUUUACCACAUAAUCAUAAUUUCACUGCAAGUUGUCUUCCUGAGCAAUAGUCACUAAAUUAUUUAUAACUGGAGCUACGAAACUCCAAAUCAAGUUCCGUUAAUUUUCCCUGAAAAUUGACUCAUAUAUAUUUUAUCCAUAAAAUUUUCAGAAUUUUUGGUUUAGCCAAUCAAUACCAGAUUUUCUCAAAGUUUCCCAUGUUUCACUAUUUGACUAAUCUGACCACUCUUCAUUAUGAAUCAAAUUUCUCAUUGUACAGAAUUCAAAAUAUGUUCUUGUUUAUUUCAUUAGAAACUAGACUCAAUAAGCUUUAAUUACAUAAUUUAUUUAGCUUCUAAUUGUUCUCCCACAAUUUAUGGUGAUUUUCCAAAGUCACGUUACUGCUGCUGUCCCAAGCAGAUUUAUUACCAAAUCACUCUUUCACACAUACCUUGCAUGCAUGUUAUUUAAACAUGUAUAUCACCAAUCAAUCAUUACAUAUCUAUGAUUUUACUUAAGUAUAAUCUCCAUUUCAUCAUUUUAAAGCACAACAUGUUAGCUGAUUUUUCCCUUUAACAUCUAAGGCACAUGCAUGCUCAUUUGUUUGGCUCAACUUCACCUAUCUUCCAUUUUUCAUCAAAAGAACAUGAAACAACAACCAUUUCCUUCAUUUUAAUUCAUGACUAAAUGCUCACAACACAACUAAAAAUCAAAAUAUACUUCAAGAGUUAAGGUAGAAUCAAGAAGAACUCAUGAACCUUAAAAUAGAAGCAAGGUACCAAGAACUUACCUUCAAUUUUCCUCCUCCUAAUGACCAAAUACUCAAGAGCUUUCUCCUCUCCUUUCUCUUCUCUAACUUUCAGCUAUGAUGAACAAAGAUGGACAAAACUUUGUUCUUUU
Molecule: long non-coding RNA, 2331 nt
Filed under: Gossypium barbadense (sea-island cotton)
Lineage: Eukaryota; Viridiplantae; Streptophyta; Magnoliopsida; Malvales; Malvaceae
Description: long non-coding RNA (GBAR_LNC007898)
Source: RNAcentral